RNAcentral lists this ribosomal RNA (234 nucleotides) under Triticum aestivum (bread wheat). Its description in RNAcentral is "partial small subunit ribosomal RNA". The record is from RNAcentral. Lineage: Eukaryota; Viridiplantae; Streptophyta; Magnoliopsida; Poales; Poaceae.
AUGAUUUCAUUGUGUACCUCGUGGAUGACACACCCAGGACUAUUUCAGAAGCCUAUGCAUCUCCUGAUGCUGACUACUGGAAGGAAGCUGUACGUAGAUGUAAGUGGUUGUUCAAGAAGAAGCUUAGACCUGAUGGUACGAUUGAAAAAUACAAGGCACGGCUUGUGGCCAAGGGUUAUACCCAGAAAUAAGGUGAAGACUUCUUUGAUACUUACUCACCCGUGGCUAGACUGA